RNAcentral lists this long non-coding RNA (1243 nucleotides) under Polistes fuscatus (common paper wasp). RNAcentral describes it as "uncharacterized LOC122515246". Lineage: Eukaryota; Metazoa; Arthropoda; Insecta; Hymenoptera; Vespidae. The record is from RNAcentral.
AAGAACCGUAAGGGAUCUUCAGUUUCCGGUGCACGUCGAUCGGAUAAUCGAAAGGUGCCUCAUCUUCAUUGACCGUUCAGAAUAAAAGUUAAAUCUUCCCAAUUAUCGAGUUGAUAGAGUAAUAGAGAAAGAUAUAUAUAGAAUGUGUGUGUGUGUGUGUUUGUGUAUUAGAUAGAAAGAGUAGGACAAAGUCAACGAUGAAAGUUUCAUCAGGAAGCGUCUAUCAGGGUGUCGGUGGACCGUGGAAGAUAUGUGAGCGUUCAAUGUUUAACUACGUGAUACUCUCAUCAGUCGAGUGGACCCUUAGGAUCACUUUUAUCUUCUAUCUUUGUCCUUAGGGAGAUCUAAGAUGCUUUUCUUCUUCUUCUUCUUCCUCUUCUUCUUCUUAUUAUUAUUAUUUUUAUUCUCUUUUCUUUUCUUUAUGUUUCACACGUUACUGUCUUCUUCACUAAGUUAAGUUCCGUUUCAUUCUAUCUUUCACUCUCUUGAUGUUCCCACAAAGAAUCCCCCUCCCCUUCCCUUCCCACCCCCUAAAAUGGAACACAUAGGUUCGGUUCGAAACGUUCACCGUUUCAAGUGGAAAAUCCGUUAAGUAAACUUCCCAGUUAUAUCCACCUAUCCAGAGGAAAGGUGUGUAUGUGUGUGCAUGAUGCUGAGGUGGAGGCAGGGGAGGAGGAGGAGGUAAACACAACAGGUAUUUGAUACAUCAGCACCUUUCGCUAUUGGGCAACGUUCCAAGUUGUUAAAAGAACGUUCUUCAGAUAAAAAAAAACAAGAAAAAGAUCCGCAAUAAUUCCACCUUGAAAUAUAUUUAGAAAAAAAUCAACGAAAAAAUAAAAUAAAAUGAAGAAACAUCGUUCGUAAGCGCAAGGUUUUCGUGGAAUCAGUGGAAUAGUCAUUGGCAGAAUUCCAAAGAAGAGAGUUCACGAACGACGCGUCAGUUUCGACAUCGGGCCACAGGUGCGCCAAACGAGCAAAACAAGGGAUGCAGGAGGUUGCAAGAGCAACAAGAGAGAGACCUUUUAUCGAAGGUGCCAAGGAUAGGGAAAAAAAAAGAACAAAGAAAAAGAGAGGAGCAUUCGUGAAACGAUCGAGAACAAAAAAAAAGGGGGGAAAGAAACAAGACAUCGAAGUGGUUUAAAUACCCUCAAGGAAAAUACCACCCUCCCUUCUUUUUUUUUUUUCUUUCUUUCUUUCUUUCUUUUUUCCUUGCAUAUUUAACACACGUUAUCGAGAAUAUAAA